GGGCUAUACUGCAGUCGAGCGGACAGAUGGGAGCUUGCUCCCUGAUGUUAGCGGCGGACGGGUGAGUAACACGUGGGUAACCUGCCUGUAAGACUGGGAUAACUCCGGGAAACCGGGGCUAAUACCGGAUGGUUGUUUGAACCGCAUGGUUCAAACAUAAAAGGUGGCUUCGGCUACCACUUACAGAUGGACCCGCGGCGCAUUAGCUAGUUGGUGAGGUAACGGCUCACCAAGGCAACGAUGCGUAGCCGACCUGAGAGGGUGAUCGGCCACACUGGGACUGAGACACGGCCCAGACUCCUACGGGAGGCAGCAGUAGGGAAUCUUCCGCAAUGGACGAAAGUCUGACGGAGCAACGCCGCGUGAGUGAUGAAGGUUUUCGGAUCGUAAAGCUCUGUUGUUAGGGAAGAACAAGUACCGUUCGAAUAGGGCGGUACCUUGACGGUACCUAACCAGAAAGCCACGGCUAACUACGUGCCAGCAGCCGCGGUAAUACGUAGGUGGCAAGCGUUGUCCGGAAUUAUUGGGCGUAAAGGGCUCGCAGGCGGUUUCUUAAGUCUGAUGUGAAAGCCCCCGGCUCAACCGGGGAGGGUCAUUGGAAACUGGGGAACUUGAGUGCAGAAGAGGAGAGUGGAAUUCCACGUGUAGCGGUGAAAUGCGUACAGAUGUGGAGGAACACCAGUGGCGAAGGCGACUCUCUGGUCUGUAACUGACGCUGACGAGCGAAAGCGUGAGGAGCGAACUCGAUUAGAUACCCUGGUAGUCCACGCCGUAAAUGAUGAGUGCUAAGUGUUAUGGGGUUUUCGCCUCUUAUUGCUGCAUCUAACUGAUUUAAGCUGUCCGCCUGGGAGGACGGGCGGAAGAUCGAACUCAAAUGGAUUGACUGGGUGCCCAGCACAUGCCGUGGAGCAUGUGGGUGUAAUUCAAGGCAACGCAAGAAUCCUUACCGGGUCUUGACAUC
Molecule: ribosomal RNA, 961 nt
Filed under: uncultured prokaryote
Description: bacterial SSU rRNA
Rfam family: Bacterial small subunit ribosomal RNA
Source: RNAcentral